RNAcentral lists this ribosomal RNA (1036 nucleotides) under Apilactobacillus kunkeei. RNAcentral describes it as "bacterial SSU rRNA". It matches the Rfam family "Bacterial small subunit ribosomal RNA", at positions 411 to 1438 of the family's 1533-position model. The record is from RNAcentral. Lineage: Bacteria; Bacillati; Bacillota; Bacilli; Lactobacillales; Lactobacillaceae.
AAGGUUUUCGGAUCGUAAAAACUCUGUUGUUAAAGAAGAACAAGUGUUAGAGUAACUGUUAACACUUUGACGGUAUUUAACCAGAAAGCCACGGCUAACUACGUGCCAGCAGCCGCGGUAAUACGUAGGUGGCAAGCGUUGUCCGGAUUUAUUGGGCGUAAAGCGAGCGCAGGCGGUUUUGUAAGUCUUGCUGUGAAAGCCCUCAGCUCAACUGAGGAAGUGCAGUGGAAACUACAAAACUUGAGUACAGAAGAGGAAAGUGGAACUCCAUGUGUAGCGGUGAAAUGCGUAGAUAUAUGGAAGAACACCAGUGGCGAAGGCGGCUUUCUGGUCUGUUACUGACGCUGAGGCUCGAAAGCAUGGGUAGCGAACAGGAUUAGAUACCCUGGUAGUCCAUGCCGUAAACGAUGAAUACUAGGUGUUGGAGGGUUUCCGCCCUUCAGUGCCGCAGCUAACGCAUUAAGUAUUCCGCCUGGGGAGUACGACCGCAAGGUUGAAACUCAAAGGAAUUGACGGGGGCCCGCACAAGUGGUGGAGCAUGUGGUUUAAUUCGAUGCUACGCGAAGAACCUUACCAGCUCUUGACAUCUUCUGCCAACCCAAGAGAUUGGGCGUUCCCUUCGGGGACAGAAUGACAGGUGGUGCAUGGUUGUCGUCAGCUCGUGUCGUGAGAUGUUGGGUUAAGUCCCGCAACGAGCGCAACCCUUAUUAUUAGUUGCCAGCAUUUAGUUGGGCACUCUAGUGAGACUGCCGGUGAUAAACCGGAGGAAGGUGGGGACGACGUCAAAUCAUCAUGCCCCUUAUGAGCUGGGCUACACACGUGCUACAAUGGAUGGUACAACGAGUCGCGAAACCGCGAGGUCAAGCUAAUCUCUUAAAGCCAUUCUCAGUUCGGAUUGCAGGCUGCAACUCGCCUGCAUGAAGUUGGAAUCACUAGUAAUCGUGGAUCAGCAUGCCACGGUGAAUACGUUCCCGGGCCUUGUACACACCGCCCGUCACACCAUGAGAGUUUGUAACACCCAAAGACGAUGGGGUAA